AAUAAUUGCUACAAGAUGUUAACGAACUAUAAAACAUCAACUAUGACAAAAACAAAAUAUAUCUAGGAUGAUCAUUCUCAGAAUAAUUACAGUCAGUGGCGUAGCCAGGGUUGAAAUGGAUGCUUUGCCCAGCGGAGCGAGGCAAACAAAUUUUUGGACUUUUUUAUGCAGAAAAUUAUUUUUUAUUUAAGCACAUGUACCCCCCAGAAUCCGACACUAGUUAGAUUUUAGUUUAAAAUUCAAAAUACCCACCAAUUCAUAUUUUUAACCAAAUUUUAUUGUUUCCUCGGAACUACCAUCAUUUAAUUCAUAAAUAUUUGAUGUAAAGUUUCCCACCCAAUCUUAUAUUUGACAUCAAAAACGGACCCCUUUAGAGCGGCACUUCUGUAUAAUUUAGGAACUUCGGAAUAUAGGAACUGAAGUGAUUUCUCUUACCAGGAAUUUGAGUCUACAACUUUGGGUUUUUGAUUUUUGAUUAUUUACUGAGAUAAACACGUUGCAGAGACAUAAAAAAAUCAGGGCGUCCAAACAUCCGGUCUUGUUAGCACUCUCAUGUGUACAAUUCUUGUCAGAUUAAGUGAAACUCAUUACUCAUAUCAUAAGCAAUGUCUUUGACAAUUUAGAAAAUAAGUCGUAAUCAAAUAUUUUUAACCAGUUAUGACCCUUUGAAAUUUAAACUGUAAUAGAAAUCC
RNAcentral lists this long non-coding RNA (692 nucleotides) under Mytilus galloprovincialis (Mediterranean mussel). The record is from RNAcentral. Lineage: Eukaryota; Metazoa; Mollusca; Bivalvia; Mytilida; Mytilidae.